UUUCCGUAGGUGAACCUGCGGAAGGAUCAUUAUUGUAUAACCGAGGUGCGAGGGCUGUCGCUGACCCGAAAGGUCGUGCACGCCCGAGUGCCCUCACACACAUCCAUCUCACCCCUAUGUGCACCACCGCGUGGGUCCCCCUUUGGCUUGUUCGGAGGGGGGCUUACGUUUUCAGACAAACUUUGUAUGCAGUGUAGAAUGUAUUUUUUGUUUUUGCGAUCACGCAAUCAAUACAACUUUCAACAACGGAUCUCUUGGCUCUC
This 263-nucleotide unclassified non-coding RNA is filed under the name plant metagenome. Its description in RNAcentral is "partial contains small subunit ribosomal RNA, internal transcribed spacer 1, and 5.8S ribosomal RNA". The record is from RNAcentral.